Molecule: small nuclear RNA, 107 nt
Filed under: Piliocolobus tephrosceles (Ugandan red Colobus)
Lineage: Eukaryota; Metazoa; Chordata; Mammalia; Primates; Cercopithecidae
Source: RNAcentral
AUGCUUGCUUUGGCAGCACGUAUACCAAAAUUGGAAAAAUACAGAGAUGAUUAGCAUGGCCUCUGUGCAAGGAUGACACGUAAAUUCGUGAAGCAUUCCAUCUAUUU